GGAAGGACCGUGGCUCACUGGUAGAGCUCUGCCUUGCAUGCAGAAGGCCCUAGGUUCAAUCCCUGGCGUCUCCA
Molecule: non-coding RNA, 74 nt
Organism: Podarcis lilfordi (Lilford's wall lizard)
Lineage: Eukaryota; Metazoa; Chordata; Lepidosauria; Squamata; Lacertidae
Source: the annotation of a GenBank genome assembly